AGAGUUUGAUCCUGGCUCAGAUUGAACGCUGGCGGCAUGCUUUACACAUGCAAGUCGAACGGCAGCACGGGUGCUUGCACCUGGUGGCGAGUGGCGAACGGGUGAGUAAUGCACCGGAACGUACCCAGUAAUGGGGGAUAACACAUCGAAAGAUGUGCUAAUACCGCAUACGCCCUGAGGGGGAAAGCGGGGGAUCGCAAGACCUCGCGUUAUUGGAGCGGCCGAUGCCGGAUUAGCUAGUUGGUGGGGUAAAGGCCUACCAAGGCGACGAUCCGUGGCUGGUCUGAGAGGACGACCAGCCACACUGGGACUGAGACACGGCCCAGACUCCUACGGGAGGCAGCAGUGGGGAAUUUUGGACAAUGGGCGCAAGCCUGAUCCAGCCAUGCCGCGUGAGUGAAGAAGGCCUUCGGGUUGUAAAGCU
This 424-nucleotide ribosomal RNA is filed under the name uncultured bacterium. RNAcentral's name for it is "bacterial SSU rRNA". It matches the Rfam family "Bacterial small subunit ribosomal RNA", at positions 8 to 432 of the family's 1533-position model. The record is from RNAcentral.